GAUGAACGCUGGCGGCGUGCCUAAUACAUGCAAGUCAACCGAACCGACGAUGAGAUUGCUCCUCUGACGUUAGCGGCGGACGGGUGAGUAACACGUGGAUAACCUUCCUAUACGACUGGGAUAACUUCGGGAAACCGGAGCUAAUACCGGAUACUAUAUUGCACCGCCUGGUCCAAUAGUGAAAGAAGGGUUUGCUGUCACUUAUCGAUGGCUCAGCGCCGCAUUAGCUGGUUGGUAAGGUAACGGGUUACCAAGGCAACGAUGCGUAGCCGACCUGAGCGGGUGAUAGGCCACACUGGAACUGAGACACGGUCCAGACGCCUACGGUAGGCAGCGGGGGGGAAGUUUGCAAAAUGGGCGAAAGCGUGACGGAGCAACGCCGCGUGGGUGCUGAAGGGCUGCGGGUCUUUAAAUUGUGUUAUUAGGGAGGAAGAAAAGUGUAAGUAAAUAUGCACGACAUGACGGUACCUAAUCAGAAAGCCACGGCUAACUACGUG
This 497-nucleotide ribosomal RNA is filed under the name uncultured bacterium. RNAcentral describes it as "partial 16S ribosomal RNA". It matches the Rfam family "Bacterial small subunit ribosomal RNA", at positions 28 to 507 of the family's 1533-position model. The record is from RNAcentral.